UUUGAUCCUGGCUCAGGACGAACGCUGGCGGCGUGCUUAACACAUGCAAGUCGAACGAUGAAGCCCUUCGGGGUGGAUUAGUGGCGAACGGGUGAGUAACACGUGGGCAAUCUGCCCUUCACUCUGGGACAAGCCCUGGAAACGGGGUCUAAUACCGGAUAACACUCUGUCCCUCAUGGGGCGGGGUUAAAAGCUCCGGCGGUGAAGGAUGAGCCCGCGGCCUAUCAGCUUGUUGGUGGGGUAAUGGCCUACCAAGGCGACGACGGGUAGCCGGCCUGAGAGGGCGACCGGCCACACUGGGACUGAGACACGGCCCAGACUCCUACGGGAGGCAGCAGUGGGGAAUAUUGCACAAUGGGCGAAAGCCUGAUGCAGCGACGCCGCGUGAGGGAUGACGGCCUUCGGGUUGUAAACCUCUUUCAGCAGGGAAGAAGCGAAAGUGA
This 443-nucleotide ribosomal RNA is filed under the name Streptomyces sp. 3LA3. Its description in RNAcentral is "bacterial SSU rRNA". It matches the Rfam family "Bacterial small subunit ribosomal RNA", at positions 12 to 459 of the family's 1533-position model. The record is from RNAcentral. Lineage: Bacteria; Bacillati; Actinomycetota; Actinomycetes; Kitasatosporales; Streptomycetaceae.